GACGAACGCUGGCGGUAUGCUUAACACAUGCAAGUCGAGCGCGAAAGUGACUUCGGUCAUAAGUAGAGCGGCGGACGGGUGAGUAACACGUGGAUAAUCUGCCUUUAGGACUGGGAUAACCCUGGGAAACUAGGGCUAAUACCGGAUAAGACCACAGGUUCCAUGGAACCAGGGGUAAAAGGCGGCCUUCGGGCUGUCGCCGAAAGAUGAGUCCGCGUCCCAUCAGGUAGUUGGUGAGGUAACGGCNCACCAAGCCGAAGACGGGUAGCCGACCUUAGCGGGUGAUCGGCCACACGGGGACUGAGACACGGCCCCGACUCCUACGGGAGGCAGCAGUGGGGAAUCUUGGGGCAAUGGGCGCAAGCCUGACCCAGCAAUACCGCGUGAGGGAUGAAGGCCUUC
This 402-nucleotide ribosomal RNA is filed under the name uncultured bacterium. Its description in RNAcentral is "bacterial SSU rRNA". It matches the Rfam family "Bacterial small subunit ribosomal RNA", at positions 28 to 419 of the family's 1533-position model. The record is from RNAcentral.